Molecule: transfer RNA, 63 nt
Filed under: Podarcis lilfordi (Lilford's wall lizard)
Lineage: Eukaryota; Metazoa; Chordata; Lepidosauria; Squamata; Lacertidae
Description: tRNA.Ala
Source: RNAcentral
GGCUAUAGCUCAGUGGUAGAGUAUCUGCUUUGCAUGCAGAAGUUCAAUCCUCAGGUAGGGCUG